Molecule: non-coding RNA, 903 nt
Organism: Pelobates cultripes (western spadefoot toad)
Lineage: Eukaryota; Metazoa; Chordata; Amphibia; Anura; Pelobatidae
Source: the annotation of a GenBank genome assembly
UGCAGACACUGAACUUUCCUCAUAGAGAUUCAUUGAUUCUAUUCAUCUCUAUGAGGAGAUGCUGAUUGGCCAGGGCUGUGUUUGAAUCAUGCUGGCUCUGCCCCUGAUCUGCCUCUUUGUCAGUCUCAGCCAAUCAUAUGGGGUAGCACUGUGAUUGGAUCAGGCUACCACGUGUCAGCAGACUGCUUGAGUCUAACAGCAUGCAGAGUUACAGCUUCUGGCUUGAAUACAGUAAGAUUUUUACUAUAGUUAUCUAGGCAUGACGGGCCCAGGGGGGCUAGAUGGUGGUGUUAACACUAUAGGAUCAGGAAUACAUGUUUGUGUUCCUGACCCUAUAGUGAUCCUUUAAAAAUGUUUAUGUUGUAAUGCUAAACAAGAGUCUUGCUGCUCUAGCUACUGUUUCUUCAUUAGCCCAAACAACACAGAGGGGAAAAGCUAAAAAAAGAAACAUUACCUAGAGAAGCAAUAUGGAGCUGUGAGUGUUAGCUGACAACUUUAAGCCUGUUACAGUGCCCCUUGCUGGUUAAGAAUUGGAAUGGCUAGAAGGGAUUGUGUAACCUCUGCCUUAGGCUUACCUCCAGUGGGUGAUAAGGAACGCAGAUUUAGUAUUGGAUAGCUUAAAAAUGGUUUAAAGGGAUACUCCACUACCCAAACACAUAUUUAAAUCACUUUUUAGUAGACAUACCCAUAAUGAAACAGGCAUGUAUUUAAUUGUGCAUUUUUUUCAUUUAGGGUAUAUCUAGAAACAGCACUGUGGGGGUAUACCCUCGAGAAGAUGGAUUACUACCCCCUUGGAUGACCCUUCCCACUGAAUACAGCUCCAGAAUGAUUAUACCCUCCUGCACAAAGUACCGCUGUCUCAUCCAAACACAAGUCGAGACUUAGUGAAGGGUGAAGAUGAAC